RNAcentral lists this ribosomal RNA (1438 nucleotides) under Salmonella enterica. Its description in RNAcentral is "partial 23S ribosomal RNA". It matches the Rfam family "Bacterial large subunit ribosomal RNA", at positions 1525 to 2925 of the family's 2925-position model. The record is from RNAcentral. Lineage: Bacteria; Pseudomonadati; Pseudomonadota; Gammaproteobacteria; Enterobacterales; Enterobacteriaceae.
GUGUGUUCCAGGUAAAUCCGGUUCACUUUAACACUGAGGCGUGACGACGAGGCACUACGGUGCUGAAGCAACAAAUGCCCUGCUUCCAGGAAAAGCCUCUAAGCAUCAGGUAACAUCAAAUCGUACCCCAAACCGACACAGGUGGUCAGGUAGAGAAUACCAAGGCGCUUGAGAGAACUCGGGUGAAGGAACUAGGCAAAAUGGUGCCGUAACUUCGGGAGAAGGCACGCUGACACGUAGGUGAAGUGAUUUACUCAUGGAGCUGAAGUCAGUCGAAGAUACCAGCUGGCUGCAACUGUUUAUUAAAAACACAGCACUGUGCAAACACGAAAGUGGACGUAUACGGUGUGACGCCUGCCCGGUGCCGGAAGGUUAAUUGAUGGGGUCAGCGCAAGCGAAGCUCCUGAUCGAAGCCCCGGUAAACGGCGGCCGUAACUAUAACGGUCCUAAGGUAGCGAAAUUCCUUGUCGGGUAAGUUCCGACCUGCACGAAUGGCGUAAUGAUGGCCAGGCUGUCUCCACCCGAGACUCAGUGAAAUUGAACUCGCUGUGAAGAUGCAGUGUACCCGCGGCAAGACGGAAAGACCCCGUGAACCUUUACUAUAGCUUGACACUGAACAUUGAGCCUUGAUGUGUAGGAUAGGUGGGAGGCUUUGAAGCGUGGACGCCAGUCUGCGUGGAGCCGACCUUGAAAUACCACCCUUUAAUGUUUGAUGUUCUAACGUGGACCCGUAAUCCGGGUUGCGGACAGUGUCUGGUGGGUAGUUUGACUGGGGCGGUCUCCUCCUAAAGAGUAACGGAGGAGCACGAAGGUUGGCUAAUCCUGGUCGGACAUCAGGAGGUUAGUGCAAUGGCAUAAGCCAGCUUGACUGCGAGCGUGACGGCGCGAGCAGGUGCGAAAGCAGGUCAUAGUGAUCCGGUGGUUCUGAAUGGAAGGGCCAUCGCUCAACGGAUAAAAGGUACUCCGGGGAUAACAGGCUGAUACCGCCCAAGAGUUCAUAUCGACGGCGGUGUUUGGCACCUCGAUGUCGGCUCAUCACAUCCUGGGGCUGAAGUAGGUCCCAAGGGUAUGGCUGUUCGCCAUUUAAAGUGGUACGCGAGCUGGGUUUAGAACGUCGUGAGACAGUUCGGUCCCUAUCUGCCGUGGGCGCUGGAGAACUGAGGGGGGCUGCUCCUAGUACGAGAGGACCGGAGUGGACGCAUCACUGGUGUUCGGGUUGUCAUGCCAAUGGCACUGCCCGGUAGCUAAAUGCGGAAGAGAUAAGUGCUGAAAGCAUCUAAGCACGAAACUUGCCCCGAGAUGAGUUCUCCCUGAGACUUUAGGUCUCCUGAAGGAACGUUGAAGACGACGACGUUGAUAGGCCGGGUGUGUAAGCGCAGCGAUGCGUUGAGCUAACCGGUACUAAUGAACCGUGAGGCUUAACCUUACAACGCCGAAG